This 461-nucleotide ribosomal RNA is filed under the name uncultured bacterium. RNAcentral describes it as "bacterial SSU rRNA". It matches the Rfam family "Bacterial small subunit ribosomal RNA", at positions 34 to 507 of the family's 1533-position model. The record is from RNAcentral.
CGCUGGCGGCGUGCUUAACACAUGCAAGUCGAACGAUGACGGUGGUGCUUGCACCACCUGAUUAGUGGCGAACGGGUGAGUAACACGUGAGUAACCUGCCCCCCACUUCGGGAUAACCUCGGGAAAUCGUGGCUAAUACCGGAUACGAGCACUCAUCGCAUGGUGGGUGCUGGAAAGAUUAUCGGUGGGGGAUGGACUCGCGGCCUAUCAGUUUGUUGGUGAGGUGAUGGCUCACCAAGACGAUGACAGGUAGCCGGCCUGAGAGGGCGACCGGCCACACUGGGACUGAGACACGGCCCAGACUCCUACGGGAGGCAGCAGUGGGGAAUAUUGCACAAUGGGCGAAAGCCUGAUGCAGCGACGCCGCGUGGGGGAUGACGGCCUUCGGGUUGUAAACCCCUUUCAGUAGAGAAGAAGCGAGAGUGACGGUACCUGCAGAAGAAGCGCCGGCUAACUACGUG